Molecule: small nuclear RNA, 340 nt
Filed under: Fukomys damarensis (Damara mole-rat)
Lineage: Eukaryota; Metazoa; Chordata; Mammalia; Rodentia; Bathyergidae
Description: 7SK RNA
Rfam family: 7SK RNA
About the family: 7SK was discovered as an abundant small nuclear RNA in the mid-70s but a possible function has only recently been suggested. Two independent studies have found that 7SK RNA binds the CDK9/cyclin T complex (known as elongation factor P-TEFb). P-TEFb activates transcription by phosphorylating the C-terminal domain of RNA polymerase II.
Source: Rfam by way of RNAcentral
AGAUGCAAGAUAUGAAGACACAUCAGUGUCCCAGUCAGUGUUUGCUCUGAUCCCCAUAAGUAUGCGUUGUCAGCUGAUCUUGCUGGCUAUGCGGGUGUCCCCUUCCUCCUUCACCAUCCCAUGUGCAUCUCUCUGGAAGCUGCACACUUGGUCAGAAAGGGCAGACACCUCCAGUAGAGGAGGACCAUAAUUAGUACUUCUUCUAAUGGGUGAAUGGUGGCUGCAAAUAUAACACUUGCAAAUCUUCAUGGUUGGAGGAUUUAUCCAAGGUUUUUAAUCAGACCCUGCCCUAAUGCAAAAUCUAUUUAAUUCUGAAAUAUGUAAUUAUUUUAAUUUCAUU